RNAcentral lists this ribosomal RNA (253 nucleotides) under uncultured bacterium. Its description in RNAcentral is "partial 16S ribosomal RNA". It matches the Rfam family "Bacterial small subunit ribosomal RNA", at positions 524 to 776 of the family's 1533-position model. The record is from RNAcentral.
UACGUAGGGGGCAAGCGUUGUCCGGAUUUAUUGGGCGUAAAGAGCGUGUAGGCGGCCAUACAGGUCAGCUGUGAAAACUCGAGGCUCAACCUCGAGACGUCGGUUGAAACCGUAUGGCUAGAGUCCGGAAGAGGAGAGUGAAAUUCCCGGUGUAGCGGUGAAAUGCGCAGAUAUCAGGAGGAACACCGGUGGCGAAGGCGGUGGGCUGGGCCGGCACUGACGCUGAGGAGCGAAAGCGUGGGGAGCGAACAGG